Anguilla anguilla (European eel) is the source of this 200-nucleotide long non-coding RNA. RefSeq lists it as uncharacterized. Lineage: Eukaryota; Metazoa; Chordata; Actinopteri; Anguilliformes; Anguillidae. The transcript has 2 exons. The record is from RefSeq and is a predicted model, not a curated record.
ACAUGUUUUGUUGCAAACCAAAGUUAACUGUGUAAUGGUUGCCAGCUAACUUGAACUUUACUUGGAAAUACACUUCUCUUUGAUGUCCGAUGUUGUCCUUACAUUGCAUCAAUAAAUGAGAAGCUGUAGUUUACGGGGGUGUGCAUCAGUGGAAUUGGUGCAGGGAGCUACAGGUGAAGGGUUUGCUUCCCUCUGCUGGA